GGCUCAGAUUGAACGCUGGCGGCAGGCCUAACACAUGCAAGUCGAGCGAGAAAGGUCUUCGGACUGAGUACAGCGGCGGACGGGUGAGUAAUGCGCAGGAAUCUACCUGGUAGUGGGGGAUAACUCGGGGAAACUCGAACUAAUACCGCAUACGCCCUACGGGGGAAAGCGGGGGGCCUUCGGGCCUCGCGCUAUCAGAUGAGCCUGCGUAGGAUUAGCUUGUUGGUGAGGUAAAGGCUCACCAAGGCGACGAUCCUUAGCUGGUCUGAGAGGAUGAUCAGCCACACUGGAACUGAGACACGGUCCAGACUCCUACGGGAGGCAGCAGUGGGGAAUAUUGCGCAAUGGGCGAAAGCCUGACGCAGCCAUGCCGCGUGUGUGAAGAAGGCCCUUGGGUUGUAAAGCACUUUCAAUUGGGAAGAAAGGUUGCGUGUUAAUAGCACGUAGCUGUGACGUUACCUUUAGAAGAAGCACCGGCUAACUCCGUG
RNAcentral lists this ribosomal RNA (488 nucleotides) under uncultured bacterium. RNAcentral's name for it is "bacterial SSU rRNA". It matches the Rfam family "Bacterial small subunit ribosomal RNA", at positions 21 to 507 of the family's 1533-position model. The record is from RNAcentral.